AAAAAAAUUUAUGAAAUGUAUGCUUUCACUACUGUAAGUCGCUCUGGAUAAGAGUGUCUGCUAAAUUACUAAAAUGUAAGAUUGAGGGGUGUUACCUCAUUGUGAAACAGAGGAAACACUACCUCUACUGUUUGACAGGUAAGCCCCAACAACAAUAUGACCUCAAACACAUUAUAAAUCAAGCAGUAAAACGGAUUUGUGUAAGAAAAUGCAUUAGUCAUUCACAAAUCAGUGCCUCUAAAGUAGCUCUGCAACCUAUUGUCAUGUAAUAUAUCUGAAUCUACAGUCAGUCUAAUCAGCCCUUUUUAUUCAGAUGGCAACAAGAGAAGGCAUCAGAUUCUGAGAAAAAUUGUUAUGGACAAGGCAGCCUUGACAACUGCCACUGUUCAACAUCCCACGCAGUAGGCAGAGUUUAGGCUCCCCACAGUGGAUGAGCUGCUCAAUACUGACAACUUUGUGUGGCCAUGGGAGAGACCUGGUUCCAAACAGGCAACAGCCAUCUUGCCAUCAAAAAGGCAAUCUUCGACAGACUGAUGUUGGUGAACAGACUGCAGGAGGAAGAGAGGAUCCUGGUGCAGGAGAUGAAGAGGCACUGGGGAGCCUACAAAGAGCAGUGGGAACUCUGGAGGCACUGUCCGUACAGCUGCAAGAUCAGAGCAAUGCAUUGGAGUUGUCAGAGGGAGGAAUGGCCUUCUCUACCUCCUGAAGAGAAGAUUGAGUGAACCGACACAAGACCAAGUCAACACCAGGAACACCUACCACAAGCUGAUUCUGGGAGAAGGGGCUAUUUUUGAUGACUUUUUGAUGUAAAUGAAAACUCAGAUGAAGAUAGAAGUCCUAUUGCUGAGAGCUCAGAUGACGACUGCUAUGCUUUCUGAAAUCAUACACAACUUCUGCCUCUUUCUCUCGGUCUCGCUCUCUCCCGCAGGAGAGGGGGAAGGCCGCCACCACCUCCCUCAUGAGCAGCCUGGGUUCCGACGUUGACCCCUGAC
Molecule: long non-coding RNA, 992 nt
Filed under: Salmo salar (Atlantic salmon)
Lineage: Eukaryota; Metazoa; Chordata; Actinopteri; Salmoniformes; Salmonidae
Description: lncRNA (ENSSSAG00000122209.1, ENSSSAG00020076275.1)
Rfam family: UnaL2 LINE 3' element (bases 21-74)
Source: RNAcentral